This 410-nucleotide ribosomal RNA is filed under the name Staphylococcus aureus. RNAcentral describes it as "partial 23S ribosomal RNA". It matches the Rfam family "Bacterial large subunit ribosomal RNA", at positions 1 to 404 of the family's 2925-position model. Lineage: Bacteria; Bacillati; Bacillota; Bacilli; Caryophanales; Staphylococcaceae. The record is from RNAcentral.
GAUUAAGUUAUUAAGGGCGCACGGUGGAUGCCUUGGCACUAGAAGCCGAUGAAGGACGUUACUAACGACGAUAUGCUUUGGGGAGCUGUAAGUAAGCUUUGAUCCAGAGAUUUCCGAAUGGGGAAACCCAGCAUGAGUUAUGUCAUGUUAUCGAUAUGUGAAUACAUAGCAUAUCAGAAGGCACACCCGGAGAACUGAAACAUCUUAGUACCCGGAGGAAGAAAAAGAAAAUUCGAUUCCCUUAGUAGCGGCGAGCGAAACGGGAAGAGCCCAAACCAACAAGCUUGCUUGUUGGGGUUGUAGGACACUCUAUACGGAGUUACAAAGGACGACAUUAGACGAAUCAUCUGGAAAGAUGAAUCAAAGAAGGUAAUAAUCCUGUAGUCGAAAAUGUUGUCUCUCUUGAGUGG